This 253-nucleotide ribosomal RNA is filed under the name uncultured bacterium. RNAcentral's name for it is "partial 16S ribosomal RNA". It matches the Rfam family "Bacterial small subunit ribosomal RNA", at positions 524 to 776 of the family's 1533-position model. The record is from RNAcentral.
UACAGAGGUCCCAAGCGUUGUUCGGAUUCAUUGGGCGUAAAGGGUGCGUAGGUGGCGGGGUAAGUCGGAUGUGAAAUCUCGGGGCUCGACCUCGAAACUGCAUUCGAUACUGCCUUGCUAGAGUACUGGAGAGGAGAUCGGAAUUUACGGUGUAGCAGUCAAAUGCGUAGAUAUCGUAAGGAAGACCAGUGGCGAAGGCGGAUCUCUGGACAGUUACUGACACUGUGGCACGAAGGCCCGGGGAGCAAACGGU